Molecule: ribosomal RNA, 397 nt
Filed under: uncultured bacterium
Lineage: Bacteria
Description: partial 16S ribosomal RNA
Rfam family: Bacterial small subunit ribosomal RNA
Source: RNAcentral
AUACGUAGGUGGCAAGCGUUGUCCGGAAUUAUUGGGCGUAAAGCGCGCGCAGGCGGUCCUUUAAGUCUGAUGUGAAAGCCCACGGCUCAACCGUGGAGGGUCAUUGGAAACUGGGGGACUUGAGUGCAGAAGAGGAAAGUGGAAUUCCAAGUGUAGCGGUGAAAUGCGUAGAGAUUUGGAGGAACACCAGUGGCGAAGGCGAUUUUCUGGUCUGUAACUGACGCUGAGGCGCGAAAGCGUGGGGAGCAAACAGGAUUAGAUACCCUGGUAGUCCACGCCGUAAACGAUGAGUGCUAAGUGUUAGGGGGUUUCCGCCCCUUAGUGCUGCAGCUAACGCAUUAAGCACUCCGCCUGGGGAGUACGGUCGCAAGACUGAAACUCAAAUGAAUUGACGGGG